This 3424-nucleotide long non-coding RNA is filed under the name Homo sapiens (human). RNAcentral's name for it is "HSALNT0050482". The record is from RNAcentral. Lineage: Eukaryota; Metazoa; Chordata; Mammalia; Primates; Hominidae.
GAGAGACUGGCCUAACCUCCCAGCCUACAUCUUUCUCCCGUGUUGGAUGUUUCCUGCCCUCAAACAGCAGACUCCAAGUUCUUCACUUUUGAGACUGGGACUGGCUCUCCUUGCUCCUCAAGCUUGCUGUCUCCUAUUGUGGGACCUUGUGAUUGUAAGUAAGAGUUCCACUCUGGCAUAGCAGCGUGAGGAUUUCCUUCUACCUGUUCUUCAGAGAAACUGGUGAAAAUUAUGGAACAACAACAAGAACAAAACACCAGUCGAAGCCUUUGGGACUAGUUCUAAAGAAAAACAGCAAAUGAAGAAAUAUCUGUUCAAGAAAAUCUAUGAAAAUUCAAUAAGAAAAUUCAAUAAGAAAAGUAUGAAUCUGUGGUAUCUGAACCAAGACUACUUCCUCCCUCCACCUUUCUACCCCCUCUAUUCAGAGAGAUGGAAACUUCACUCUUGACUGCUGCAACCAAAAAUAUAGGGCUCCCUUUCUUCACAGUCCUCAUCCAGAGGGUUUUCUUCCUGAAAGGAGCAAGACUUCAGCAUUUCUCAUCCUACCUUCAGGUGCCUUCUGCUGAGGCUAAGUCCCAGAUGAUUUUGAACAAUUAGGGAAUCCCUUUUUCUACCCUAUCUCCACUAAUGGAAUGGAGGCUCUAUCUUGGACACAGCAGCACUGAGAAUAUGGAAGCCCUGCUAGCCGUUUCCCUGGCUCCUGAGGCAGUGGUUCCAUAUUAGGAGAGGCAAGCUGAGAAGACCUUACUUAGGCUUUUGCACGCCCCCCCGGCAUCCCUUUCUUACUGCCAUCAUUCACAUUACUCAGCUCCUAAGUGGAAGUGUCACUCAGAAAGAAACUUGUCAUUGUCCCCACUCUCAUCUCCAGAGCCCUGACUCAGACAUUUUUGCCAGGAAUGAGAAACAAGCCUUAAAAUAGGGUAGUUCCCAAUCUCUUCCCAGAGGAACUGACUUUGUUUGAAACAGAUUGUGGAAAAGUUUAAAAGUAGGGACACUCUCAGGAAUAGUAGAGUUAGGGUAAUAGGCAAGUAAGAAGACAUAUGUGGAUAUAAUUAAUGUACAGACAACACCGUAGACCAGCUAGUUUGCAGGAGAGAACUGCAGAAGAAGACAGCUUGGAGAAACCCUCCUGGCAACAGAAAACAAAAAUAAAAAACAUUGAACAUAGAAACUACAUGAAGAAGCCACAAUUUGAUUGGAUUGGUUUGUAGAGGAAUUUAUGUCCAGGACGUUGUUGAUAAUAAUAGAGCAAUCCCAGAUUGUUAAUGGAGUUUAAUAACUGUGUGUGUGUAGGGAACAUGGGAAGAGAGCCUUAUAAGUCCCAGUGUGGCCAUGGCAUACCCUAAACUGCUCCCCCCUAGAUUUUACUAAACUAAAGUAAUCCAGCCAGUCACUAAAGAAAUAAACAAGCGGCCGGGUACAGUGGCUCACUCCUGUAAUCCCAGCACUUUAGGAGGCUGAGGCGGGCGGAUCAUGAGGUCAGGAGAUCGAGACCAUCCUGGCUAACACGGUGAAACCCCAUCUCUACUAAAAAUACAAAAAAUUAGCCAGGCAUGGUGGCGGGCACCUGUAGUCCCAGCUACUGGGGAGGCUGAGGCAGGAGAAUGGCGUGAACCCGCGAGGCAGAGCUUGCAGUGAGCCGAGAUGGAGCCACUGCACUCCAGCCUGGGUGACAGAGCAAGACUCUGUCUCAAAAAAAAAAAAAAAAAAAAGAAAGAAAGAAACAAGCAAAUAACAAUAACAAACUCUGGUUUGGGAAGAAGCAAUAUCCAGAGUUGGUUGCUAUAUUAUCUGGAAUGUUCAGUUUUCCACAAAAACUUACAAGGCAUGUGAAAAAAUAGGUAAGUAUGACUUACACCCAGGAAAAGAAGCAGGAAACAGAGACUGCCUAUGAGAAUAACCAGAUGUUAAGCUUAACAGAAAACUAUUUCAAAGUAGCCACUGUAAAUAUGUUCAUACAGAUGAAGGAAAGCAUGAUCAAAGAAAUAAAUAUAUAACAAUACUGUACCAAAGAGAGAAUGUUAUAACAGACAGAUAGAAAUUAUUACAUUUUUUAAAGGACCAAAUGGAAAUUCUGGAGUUAAAAAGUGAAAUAACUGAAAUAAGAAAUUCACUAGAGGGCUCAACAGUAGAUAUACAGUGGCAGAAAAAAAGUAUUAGUGAACUCAAAAUUAGAGCAAUUGAGAUUAUGCAAGUCAUAGAACAGAGAGAAAAAACAAUUAAGAAACAAUGAAGACAAGAAAGCAGUGGGAAAACAUAUUGAAAGUGCUUAAAGAAAAACAGACAACAAUGAAUCCUAUCUUUUAAAAUUGAAGGGCAAUACAAAAAAACUGUCUUUUAAAAUUGAAGGGCAAGACAAAAUAGAGACAGAGAGAGAGAGAAUUUGCUCCCAGCACACCAGCCUUACAAAAAGUAUUUAAGAAAUUUCUUCAUGCUGAAACCAAGUGACCUCAGAUAGUAAUUUGAGUCUACAUAAACAGAGAAAGAGCAUUAAGUAAAGGUUGAAUUGUGUCUCCCAAAAGAUGUUGAAGUCCUAACUCCCAGGACGUGGGAAUGUGACCUUAUUUGGAAAUGAAGUCUUUGCAAAUGAUCAAAUUAGGUUGGGGCCAUUAGGGUCGGCCCUAAUUCAAUAUGACUGCUCUUAUACAAAGGGGAAAUUUGGACACAGAGACAGGGUUACAGAGAGGCGGCCAUGUAAACACACAGUGAGUACACAAUCUACAAAUGAAAGAAUGCCCAGGCCCCCAGGAGAGAGCAGCAUGGAACAGAUUCACCCUUAAAGCUCUCAGAAGGAACCAACCUUGCUGACACCUUGUGUUAAGACCUCUAGCCUCUAGAACUGUGAGACAACACAUUUUUGUUGUUUAAGUCACUCUAUAGUAUUUUAUUACUGCAGCUUCAGGAAACCAAUACCUCUUACUACUAAUUUUUUCUUUUAAAAAACCUUUAAGUAGAGCCAUUUUAUCUUGUUUAUAAUUGUCAAGAAAAGAUAAAUAAUCUAAGUGAAUUAUAUAUACAUUUAUUUUUCUAGGUGCUUUCUUGAUCCAACUUAAAGAACUAUUGCAAUGUUAGUCAUAAAAGCAUAGUAUAGGCCACUUAAGGAUCACUAGUUGUUCUUUUAAAAUAAAUUUUGUGGUGAAAAGUAUUUGGGAGAAGCUGAAUUUCAGUGUAGACACUAAUGUGUAUUUGCAUUUUUGAAGACUUUGAUAUGUCUGGACGUCAAAUUAUUUUGUUUAUAAUCUAUACAUCAUGGUGGCUGGGCGUGGGGGCUCAUGCCUAUAAUCCCAGCACUUCGGGAGGCCGAGGUGGUUGGAUCAUGAGGUCAGGAGUUCAAGACAAGCCUGGGUGAAACCCUGUCUCUACUAAAAAUACAAAAAUUAGUCGAGCAUGGUGGUGGGCACCUGUAAUCCCAGCUACUUGGGAG